GCAUGGUGAUUGAUAACAAAAUUGUUGGAUCCUUAAACUGAAUUGUUAUCGGUUCAUAGCAGCUUACGAGCGAGCGAUGUGCUACACCAUACUUACUGGCACGGCCUUGUGUCAACAAUUGCAAAGAACGAACAGCUUGUUGACUGACAUCGUAGUCCAAUAGAUCAGCAUUAGCAAGACAAAACAAUAGACCACUCUCAUCAACCACUGCACGUCGCCAAAGUAAUUCGAUCUA
Molecule: non-coding RNA, 235 nt
Organism: Paramuricea clavata
Lineage: Eukaryota; Metazoa; Cnidaria; Anthozoa; Malacalcyonacea; Plexauridae
Source: the annotation of a GenBank genome assembly